AACGAACGCUGGCGGCAUGCCUAACACAUGCAAGUCGAACGAGACCUUCGGGUCUAGUGGCGCACGGGUGCGUAACGCGUGGGAAUCUGCCUGGGGUGCGGAAUAACUCGGAGAAAUCCGUGCUAAUACCGCAUAAUGUCUUCGGACCAAAGAUUUAUCGCCCUGGGAUGAGCCCGCGUAGGAUUAGCUAGUUGGUGGGUAAAGGCCUACCAAGGCGACGAUCCUUAGCUGGUCUGAGAGGAUGAUCAGCCACACUGGGACUGAGACACGGCCCAGACUCCUACGGGAGGCAGCAGUGGGGAAUAUUGGACAAUGGGCGAAAGCCUGAUCCAGCAAUGCCGCGUGAGUGAUGAAGGCCCUAGGGUUGUAAGCUCUUUACCCGGGAUGAUAAUGACAGUACCGGGAGAAGU
This 410-nucleotide ribosomal RNA is filed under the name uncultured bacterium. RNAcentral's name for it is "bacterial SSU rRNA". It matches the Rfam family "Bacterial small subunit ribosomal RNA", at positions 29 to 491 of the family's 1533-position model. The record is from RNAcentral.